This 253-nucleotide ribosomal RNA is filed under the name uncultured bacterium. RNAcentral describes it as "partial 16S ribosomal RNA". It matches the Rfam family "Bacterial small subunit ribosomal RNA", at positions 524 to 776 of the family's 1533-position model. The record is from RNAcentral.
UACGUAGGUGGCAAGCGUUGUCCGGAUUUACUGGGUGUAAAGGGCGUGCAGCCGGGCUGACAAGUCAGAUGUGAAAUCCCGCGGCUCAACCGCGGAACUGCAUUUGAAACUGUUAGUCUUGAGUACCGGAGAGGUCAUCGGAUUUCCUUGUGUAGCGGUGAAAUGCGUAGAUAUAAGGAAGAACACCAGUGGCGAAGGCGGAUGACUGGACGGCAACUGACGGUGAGGCGCGAAAGCGUGGGGAGCAAACAGG